GAUGAACGCUAGCUACAGGCUUAACACAUGCAAGUCGAGGGAAACGAUAGAGAAAGCUUGCUUUUUCUAGGCGUCGACCGGCGCACGGGUGAGUAACGCGUGGGUAACCUGCCUCAUACAGGGGGAUAGCAGCUGGAAACGGCUGGUAAUACCGCAUAAGCGCACAGCAUCACAUGAUGCAGUGUGAAAAACUCCGGUGGUAUGAGAUGGACCCGCGUCUGAUUAGCUGGUUGGUGAGGUUAAACGGGCCCACCAAGGCGACGAUCAGUAGCCGACCUGAGAGGUUGAACGGCCACAUUGGGACUGAGAUACGGCCCAGACUCCUACGGGAGGCAGCAGUGGGGAAUAUUGGGCAAUGGGCGCAAGCCUGACCCAGCAACGCCGCGUGAAGGAAGAAGGCUUUCGGGUUGUAAACUUCUUUUAAGAGGGAAGAGCAGAAGACGGUACCUCUAGAAUAAGCCACGGCUAACUACGUG
RNAcentral lists this ribosomal RNA (476 nucleotides) under uncultured bacterium. Its description in RNAcentral is "bacterial SSU rRNA". It matches the Rfam family "Bacterial small subunit ribosomal RNA", at positions 28 to 507 of the family's 1533-position model. The record is from RNAcentral.